RNAcentral lists this long non-coding RNA (316 nucleotides) under Androctonus crassicauda. Lineage: Eukaryota; Metazoa; Arthropoda; Arachnida; Scorpiones; Buthidae. The record is from RNAcentral.
UUUAACAUCAUCUUAAUUUAUGCCCCUUUCCAAUCAAGGAGAUUACUAAGGGGCGGGGCCAGUUCCAAUCAUUGGAUGCACUCACAUCCAUGGAUGGGGCCAGAUGGUAAAGGAUGGGGAUCACUGGGCUGAGCCCAAUACCCCAAAAAAACUUCAGGAGUUACCAGACCCAGGACAUGAACCCAGGUCCUCCUGCGUGGCAUGCCAACAGCAUUAUUACUCGGCCAUCUGGUCACGAUAAUUUAACAUUAGGAAGGGGAUAUAAGUAUGUAUAUUUUUCUUGUAUUCCCUACUUCAAUCUUUAUUUCCAAGUCCG